CCGGAUCUUCCUCUGGAUCCGUAUGUGAUUGGUCUGACGGGCGGCAGCGGGUCGGGAAAGAGCUCUAUAGCGCACAGACUGGAGGCUCUCGGCGCCGUGAAGAUUGACUGCGAUCAGCUCGGUCACGAGGCCUACCUGCCGGGAACAUCCGCUUAUCAUAAGGUCAUCCAGGAGUUCGGCCCAGAUAUUCUUAAUGAGGAUAAGAGCAUUAACAGACGAGUACUGGGUGGAAAAGUGUUUGGAAACCAGGAGCGUCUGAAAGCUCUGACAGAUAUCGUGUGGCCGGAGAUUGCUCUGCUGGUGAAGAAAAGAAUAGAACAAGCAAAAGAACAGGGUGAGCGUGUCUGUGUGGUGGAUGCGGCCGUGUUGCUCGAGGCGGGAUGGACAUAUCUGGUGCAUGAGGUUUGGGUGGCCACCAUCCCAGAGGAAGAGGUACUAAAGCUUUAAUAUAGA
Molecule: long non-coding RNA, 453 nt
Organism: Sinocyclocheilus grahami
Lineage: Eukaryota; Metazoa; Chordata; Actinopteri; Cypriniformes; Cyprinidae
Exons: 4
Source: RefSeq, a predicted model, not a curated record